Acanthochromis polyacanthus (spiny chromis) is the source of this 457-nucleotide long non-coding RNA. RefSeq lists it as uncharacterized. The record is from RefSeq and is a predicted model, not a curated record. The transcript has 3 exons. NCBI's taxonomy places the organism in Eukaryota, Metazoa, Chordata, Actinopteri, Pomacentridae.
UAGAAAUAAAAUCAAUAAUAAUAUAGAUCUGCAAAAAUAUAAAUUCAUGAACAGUGAGUGUCAUAAAAUCUAAACCACUUAAAGCUGAUCUUUUGCAGGAAUAACUGAAGGUGACAUCGUCCAAUCCUGAAGCCUGAACCCUGCAGGUGGGCGGGGCUUCUGUGCGGACUGACAGCAGUAGGACUCCAUUACCCAGCAUGCACUGUGGUCUUUGUAAAAUCUCUAAAGAGGAUUUGUGUGGAUCAGAGACGACAUGCCGCUGAAGAGAGAAGACACUGAACGCGCCCUGCAGGUGAUGGAGGCCUGUCAGGCCGGAGGAGCUGAAGGAGUCAAAGGAAGAGCUGAGAAACUGCUCAACAUCUUCCAGAGCGACUUAUUUCAGGCUCUGCUGGACAUACAGGAAUUCUACGAGCUGACAGUGUGUGAGAACCAGCCGCCAAGCCGACCACACACACCU